Molecule: long non-coding RNA, 1736 nt
Filed under: Homo sapiens (human)
Lineage: Eukaryota; Metazoa; Chordata; Mammalia; Primates; Hominidae
Description: long non-coding RNA NONHSAT194313.1
Source: RNAcentral
GGGAACCCUCGUAGGUUAAGGUGCCGGGAUGCACGUUUGCCGCUUUUUUUCCCGGUGAAACUUGAGCUGUGAGCCCAGAAACCCUAGGGACCGGAGCCCGAUGGAAUGAAGCCUCCGGGUCCACUUCUCAUGGCCUUCCACCCUGGAGAAGGCACCAUUUUAGCCCACCCAGCCGCAGAAUCCCCUACAGCUAGUUUUCUUCUGUCUUGUGCCCACUCCCCCGGCUCUGCCCUGACAGCUUCUGGAGCUCUCUAGAUUGACCCUCGUCCCUGCCCUCCAGCUUGUGGGACGUCUCUCACACUGCCCGUGCUUAUUUUACCAAACCGCAGGAACAAGAUUUACGUGUUAAAUACCUGAUUUCAUGGACUGUGUGCCCCGGCUGUUCUAACCAAAACAGUCACGCGCCUGUUUCCCAUCUCUUGACCCUCGUGUUAUGUUACUGUUUUCCUGUCAUAUUUGGGAGUUAGUCUCUGAGUUUUCUUCCCAGGUGCCUUAGCUGGACCAAUUAUUGUGGAGCCACAUGUCACAGCAGUAUGGGGAAAGAAUGUUUCAUUAAAGUGUUUAAUUGAAGUAAAUGAAACCAUAACACAGAUUUCAUGGGAGAAGAUACAUGGCAAAAGUUCACAGACUGUUGCAGUUCACCAUCCCCAAUAUGGAUUCUCUGUUCAAGGAGAAUAUCAGGGAAGAGUCUUGUUUAAAAAUUACUCACUUAAUGAUGCAACAAUUACUCUGCAUAACAUAGGAUUCUCUGAUUCUGGAAAAUACAUCUGCAAAGCUGUUACAUUCCCGCUUGGAAAUGCCCAGUCCUCUACAACUGUAACUGUGUUAGUUGAACCCACUGUGAGCCUGAUAAAAGGGCCAGAUUCUUUAAUUGAUGGAGGAAAUGAAACAGUAGCAGCCAUUUGCAUCGCAGCCACUGGAAAACCCGUUGCACAUAUUGACUGGGAAGGUGAUCUUGGUGAAAUGGAAUCCACUACAACUUCUUUUCCAAAUGAAACGGCAACGAUUAUCAGCCAGUACAAGCUAUUUCCAACCAGAUUUGCUAGAGGAAGGCGAAUUACUUGUGUUGUAAAACAUCCAGCCUUGGAAAAGGACAUCCGAUACUCUUUCAUAUUAGACAUACAGUAUGCUCCUGAAGUUUCGGUAACAGGAUAUGAUGGAAAUUGGUUUGUAGGAAGAAAAGGUGUUAAUCUCAAAUGUAAUGCUGAUGCAAAUCCACCACCCUUCAAAUCUGUGUGGAGCAGGUUGGAUGGACAAUGGCCUGAUGGUUUAUUGGCUUCAGACAAUACUCUUCAUUUUGUCCAUCCAUUGACUUUCAAUUAUUCUGGUGUUUAUAUCUGUAAAGUGACCAAUUCCCUUGGUCAAAGAAGUGACCAAAAAGUCAUCUACAUUUCAGAUCCUCCUACUACUACCACCCUUCAGCCUACAAUUCAGUGGCAUCCCUCAACUGCUGACAUCGAGGAUCUAGCAACAGAACCUAAAAAAUUGCCCUUCCCAUUGUCAACUUUGGCAACAAUUAAGGAUGACACAAUUGCCACGAUCAUUGCUAGUGUAGUGGGUGGGGCUCUCUUCAUAGUACUUGUAAGUGUUUUGGCUGGAAUAUUCUGCUAUAGGAGAAGACGGACGUUUCGUGGAGACUACUUUGCCAAGAACUACAUUCCACCAUCAGAUAUGCAAAAAGAAUCACAAAUAGAUGUUCUUCAACAAGAUGAGCUUGAUUCUUACCCAGACAGUGU